AAACAUCUUAGCCUUUUUAAUUUUGGAUUGUGACCUUUUACUUUCUAUUGAUUUUGUUAUUCAUUUUACUUUUGUACUGGUCCCACUAAUCAGAUUGGUCCCACAUGUCAUCCUAAUCUCAAAAUUGGUCCCACGCAUCAGAAAUUUCAAAAUAUGUCAAACAACCAUUAUAACUUGAACCCCUUUGCCAGGUUACCAUUUUCGAGGUAUUCAAAUCACAUACAAAAUCAUUAUUUUGAAGAAUCCAAAGAGCAAAUGGAAUUCGUCCAAAACAACACUACAUUAGUCUAUUACAAUCAUUACAUUAUACUACAACCCAAAUAAGCCUACUACUGCCUACAACUACAAUACAUAAUAUGCUACUCUUUGGUGAUAUGCUUCACAGCUUCGGACUUGGAUUCGCACUUCACCUGUGCAAAAAAUAAGAAUGAACAUAUAAGAAUAGAAAUGCUUCACAAUUUCGGACUUGCUGAUAUGCUAACAAAAGUAUGAAACAAUAGUUAACAAGUCUGAGUUGGAAAAGGUAGAAGUAAUUUAGCUCAUCUUGUUAUGUCAAGAAUAGAAAUCACUUGUAGAUGGCAUCUGCAAUUCUGCAUAUACCUAGAGGUAAUUUAGGUCAUAUUUUUUUAUGUCAAUAAUAGAAAUCAUAUAGAUUUUAUUGAAUAACAUAGGAGAAAAAAUGUUCACCAAAUAUGUAUCACAAAUUUGAUGAUGAAGCAAGACUAGAUGAAGACAUUUUCUAAUUAAUAAGCAAUCAAAUAUAUACAUGCACCACUUCAAGAAAUUCAUGAGUUGGACAAUGCAUUAAUAGCAAAUAUGACAAACUAAUGUAAUUUUAGUGUACAACCAGUGUCACAUAGUGAAUAGACAACUUGAUUUAAAAAUGUCGCACCCAUCAGGUAUUCACUUUGUACAAGCAGCAUGUUACAUUGAGGUUGGCUCUGCUCAAGCAUAUCUAAAACAGAUUGAAGUCAGCGCCGUUGUGGUUCACAUGUUUGAGCAUAGAAAUAAUCAGGGCUAGGAAGUUACUAACUGUGAAAGCACAAGGGAUGAUGCAUGGAUAGACUCGACACUCAAUUGAACAGAUUGGGGGGCAACUGAACUAGUUACAAGACUUCUCAAACUAUCUAUGGUUGCAUGGACUGGAACCAAAAUACUUGGCACGUGCAACAAGAAAAAAAUGUACAGUAAGAGGAAAAACUUGGGCAGAUUGGGUGUUUUCUUCUACUAAUAUCCGUGACAACUUAGUGGAGAUGCAGUGCGUUGUGGACUGUUUGUUGGCUGCUUCUUCAAUGGUGUGGUAUACAAGAUGCUUGCAGCCUGAAACUGACAGACCAUAUGAGCCUUGGCCAUUCUUUCAGCGAAACUCCCACGAGCGUCCUUGUGAUCUUGACUGCACUGUUCGUAAGCUAGCUACUCGUUAGCACAGGAACACGAAAUAGCAGUGCUCCAUUUAAUUCUAGGGAAGCAAGGGCAUGGGCAAGUGCAAGCAUGUGGAUAUGCAAAAGUAUUUGUGAGACAACAAGGUGAGCUACAAUCUGAAUGGAAGAGUGUUGUGAGCUACAGUUUAAAUGAGAGAGUAUCUAUGAGGCUCUCUGUUGAAAAGAAAUGAGAUCACCUGCUACUGCCAAAUAGGUCGCAGAGGCCGAGCGCCAGGCAGCUUAUUAUCCCCUUGGUGGAUAUGGGCCUCGUGAUUAAGUGUGUCAGGCUUUUCUAAAUUAUACGGGGCAAUAUACAUAUAUGCGUGAAUAGUGCAACCGUAUGGGAGUUGCCCAUUUGUCAGGCUCGAGUGAAUGCAAUGAAACUGCUGUUUAAUGAGCGUGAUGAAUCACUGAUUUGACAGCUCGAAAUUAAUAUGUGAUGAACUUAUUGCUCACCCGUUCAUGGCAUCAAAAAGUAUCAAUUUUCUAUUCGGUCACCUCAUCAUUGCAUGCAUUUCUCUGUUUAUAUAAAACCAAUCCUUAAAUUAGUGUGCAAUUAGCUACUGUUCUGGAGCAAAUAAUUACUACUUCCUUCUGGAAUUACUAGCCCCUCGCAUUUUGGGUCAUGUUUUGACAAAUAACAUUAAGCAAUAAAAUAUUUGUUAUAUGUAGCAUCAAUAAUAUCAUUAGAAUUUAAAUUUUCCAUCUAAAUACAAAUUCAACAAUAUAAUAUUUUAUGACAUACAUUAAUAUUUACUAAUCAAAACUUGAAAUAAAUACAACGGAGACUAAUAAACCUAGAUGGAGGUAGUAAAUAAUUGUGCCUCUUUUAACAAAAAGUUCAUUUAAGAUGACCCCUAUUUCUCCCUAAGAGGUAAGAGAAAUAUUUGGUUUGAACCAUGAAGGAUAUAUUUGACAACAUAAAGUAUUUUAAUUAUGGCAAUUACUUGUUAAAAAGGAGUGUUUAAAGAUAUUUCCCACAUACUUAUUAAUAAAAAAUCAUAUUCGACCCAUAUGUAUAUGUUGUAUCUAGCAUAUGAAGACAAAUAAUUAUCAUAUUGUAUAAUGUUAUACGUAUCCAUGUGAUCCUAGAAAAAUGUAUACAUACUACAAAUGACAUUAUUAUAAUUUGUCUAGAUUGCAACAUAUCAAUAAUCAGUACGUGUAUUCGCAUCAUUCUAAGAGAGUCAGUAAAGAAAAUAGAUGCCCCGCAAAACAAAAGUAAAUAAAAUAGAUGUACACAAGCCAUGCUAGGAACAUGUAUGACCUAAUUUCUUUGUAAGUAAUAUACUAUACGCUCUCCAUUAAAUUGUUUUCUUGUCUAACGAAAUAAAAUGUGCAGGAACACUACUGGUACACAUGUUUGUUUUGUUGAAGAAAAAUACUGAUGGUAUUAUGUUUGCUUUUUUGCUAUCAUCUUGGUAAAUAUUUGUUUAUAUAUCAAAUUCAUCAAAUUAUUGUGCAAUUAGCUGUUGCUUUUUUAGCAAACAAUUAACAUACGUGACUCUUUUCAUAAAGAACAAAAGGUUAAGGUGCUAAUUAGAUAUUAUUUUUGGAACAAACUACUGUAUUAUGUGCUAAUUAACAUACGUGAUUAUGCUUCGCCCAGGUUCUACACAUGUGCCUCCCGCAUGGGCCUUGUCAGAAAAUAUGGUGGUAAACGGCUUUUCACGUGGCGGUGGAAAAUGCAAUACGCCUAACGGCACAAAUCCUAAAGCUGGUUCGGCGGGCUGGAUUCAGAGCUGCGUGCAGACCGGCCUCUGCAGUGCUUUAUCGGUAUUUAGAGUGGGUUUUCUCAGCAAGUACCUGAACCCGGUGGGCGAUCCAUCAUACCAUACUGCUCUGCAGUUGUGCAUUUGGUGUGUGCAUGACGACUCAGCUGCCUUACGGUGAUAGUAGAACGACUGCAUAAGAGUGCAUAUUGAGGAGCAGAAGAGAGAGAUACAUGUCAGAGGAGAGAAUAUUCGAUGGAAACAUGAAGAACGUGAAUCAGUUGUACGUACCUGUACUACUCUAAGGAACUACUGCUGCCAUCUUCCUGAUUGUCUUAUUCUUGCUGUCGAUGCUGCACUAGGGGAGCUGGGAGCACACUGUCAUCCACUACCUCCUCCUACAGAGAUGCCUUCAAAUCCGACGCGGGUCAGCGAGGGUCACGGCUAGGGGGGAUGGAAGACGCCGGCAGCAGCAUGCUCGGCUUUCAGUUCCGGCGCGGGUUCCAGCCUUGCAUCUGGUGGCUUCUGCAGGGAGGGAGGGAGAGCGAUUGAGAGCGGGAUACUGAGAGAGAGAGAGAGAGAGGGGGGAUAAUAACUUACCAUAUCGGAAGCUCUUAGUGCUCGUACUGACGGACGUCUCCCAUGGCCCAGCUCGACCAUGACAAGCGAAUAGGAGUCGGUGAGGGCCUCGAGGCAGCCCUUCUUAUCCCGCGACGAGCGUCCAUCGCUAGCCGACUCUUGUCUGCUCCGACCGCAAACCCUAACCCUAGCACAGAAGGAGGAGGGGGGAUGCCAUGGCCGCGCCUGGGCUGGUGGAUCUAGGGGUGAAGGCGAGGGGAAGGGUAGAGGGUGGGUGGUGGAGACGAGGUCGACGGUGGGCGGCGGCGGCGGCGGCGGUGGUGGGAAUCACGGGUUGGAGGGAGGGGAGACGAGACGAGCGAGACAGAGGUGGGGCGACAAGGUGUCUCGAUCGGAUCUGGAGCGUGGGAGAGAUUUGUUAGAGUUUAAUUAACAUGUGUUAAUUAUGGGGGUAAUCUCCCCUUCUAACUCUCAU
RNAcentral lists this long non-coding RNA (4187 nucleotides) under Hordeum vulgare. RNAcentral describes it as "long non-coding RNA (HVUL_LNC015635)". The record is from RNAcentral. Lineage: Eukaryota; Viridiplantae; Streptophyta; Magnoliopsida; Poales; Poaceae.